CCUACGGGAGGCAGCAGUGGGGAAUAUUGCACAAUGGGCGCAAGCCUGAUGCAGCCAUGCCGCGUGUAUGAAGAAGGCCUUCGAGUUGUAAAGUACUUUCAGCGGGGAGGAAGGCGAUAAGGUUAAUAACCUUGACGAUUGACGUUACCCGCAGAAGAAGCACCGGCUAACUCCGUGCCAGCAGCCGCGGUAAUACGGAGGGUGCAAGCGUUAAUCGGAAUUACUGGGCGUAAAGCGCACGCAGGCGGUCUGUCAAGUCGGAUGUGGAAUCCCCGGGCUCAACCUGGGAACUGCAUUCGGAACUGGCAGGCUGGAGUUUUGUAGAGGGGGGUAGAAUUCCAGGUGUAGCGGUGAAAUGCGUAGAGAUCUGGAGGAAUACCGGUGGCGAAGGCGGCCCCCUGGACAAAGACUGACGCUCAGGUGCGAAAGCGUGGGGAGCAAACAGGAUUAGAUACCCGGGUAGUC
This 465-nucleotide ribosomal RNA is filed under the name uncultured bacterium. RNAcentral's name for it is "bacterial SSU rRNA". It matches the Rfam family "Bacterial small subunit ribosomal RNA", at positions 338 to 795 of the family's 1533-position model. The record is from RNAcentral.